GCUCCCGCUAUUGGAUGAGCCUAUGUCGGAUUAGCUAGUUGGUGAGGUAAUGGCUCACCAAGGCGACGAUCCGUAGCUGGUCUGAGAGGAUGAUCAGCCACAUCGGGACUGAGACACGGCCCGAACUCCUACGGGAGGCAGCAGUGGGGAAUAUUGGACAAUGGGGGAAACCCUGAUCCAGCCAUGCCGCGUGUGUGAAGAAGGCCCUCGGGUUGUAAAGCACUUUCAGCGAGGAAGAACGCCUAUUGGUUAAUACCCGUUAGGAAAGACAUCACUCGCAGAAGAAGCACCGGCUAACUCCGUGCCAGCAGCCGCGGUAAUACGGAGGGUGCAAGCGUUAAUCGGAAUUACUGGGCGUAAAGCGCGCGUAGGUGGCUUGAUAAGCCGGUUGUGAAAGCCCCGGGCUCAACCUGGGAACGGCAUCCGGAACUGUCAGGCUAGAGUGCAGGAGAGGAAGGUAGAAUUCCCGGUGUAGCGGUGAAAUGCGUAGAGAUCGGGAGGAAUACCAGUGGCGAAGGCGGCCUUCUGGACUGACACUGACACUGAGGUGCGAAAGCGUGGGUAGCAAACAGGAUUAGAUACCCUGGUAGUCCACGCCGUAAACGAUGUCGACCAGCCGUUGGGUGCCUAGAGCACUUUGUGGCGAAGUUAACGCGAUAAGUCGACCGCCUGGGGAGUACGGCCGCAAGGUUAAAACUCAAAUGAAUUGACGGGGGCCCGCACAAGCGGUGGAGCAUGUGGUUUAAUUCGAUGCAACGCGAAGAACCUUACCUACCCUUGACAUCCAGCGAACUUGGAAGAGAUUGAUUGGUGCCUUCGGGAACUCUGAGACAGGUGCUGCAUGGCUGUCGUCAGCUCGUGUUGUGAAAUGUUGGGUUAAGUCCCGUAACGAGCGCAACCCUUGUCCUUAUUUGCCAGCGCGUAAUGGCGGGAACUCUAAGGAGACUGCCGGUGACAAACCGGAGGAAGGUGGGGACGACGUCAAGUCAUCAUGGCCCUUACGGGUAGGGCUACACACGUGCUACAAUGGCCGGUACAAAGGGCUGCGAGCUCGCGAGAGUCAGCUAAUCCCUUAAAGCCGGUCUCAGUCCGGAUCGGAGUCUGCAACUCGACUCCGUGAAGUCGGAAUCGCUAGUAAUCGUGAAUCAGAAUGUCACGGUGAAUACGUUCCCGGGCCUUGUACACACCGCCCGUCACACCAUGGGAGUGGACUGCACCAGAAGUGGUUAGC
RNAcentral lists this ribosomal RNA (1231 nucleotides) under uncultured bacterium. RNAcentral's name for it is "bacterial SSU rRNA". It matches the Rfam family "Bacterial small subunit ribosomal RNA", at positions 211 to 1434 of the family's 1533-position model. The record is from RNAcentral.